RNAcentral lists this ribosomal RNA (301 nucleotides) under uncultured bacterium. RNAcentral describes it as "partial 16S ribosomal RNA". It matches the Rfam family "Bacterial small subunit ribosomal RNA", at positions 509 to 807 of the family's 1533-position model. The record is from RNAcentral.
CAGUCGCCGCGGUAAUACGAAGGGGGCUAGCGUUGUUCGGAUUUACUGGGCGUAAAGCGCACGUAGGCGGACUUUUAAGUCAGGGGUGAAAUCCCGGGGCUCAACCCCGGAACUGCCUUUGAUACUGGAAGUCUUGAGUAUGGUAGAGGUGAGUGGAAUUCCGAGUGUAGAGGUGAAAUUCGUAGAUAUUCGGAGGAACACCAGUGGCGAAGGCGACUGACUGGACAAGUAUUGACGCUGAGGUGCGAAAGCGUGGGGAGCAAACAGGAUUAGAUACCCCCGUAGUCCCUGUCUCUUAUAC